GUGUCAGCAGCCGCGGUAAUACGUAGGUGGCAAGCGUUGUCCGGAUUUAUUGGGUUUAAAGGGUGCGUAGGCGGCCAAUUAAGUCAGUGCUGAAAUACUCUAGCUUAACUAGAGGGGUGGCAUUGAUACUGAUUGGCUUGAGUGAAGUCGAAGUAGGCGGAAUUGACGGUGUAGCGGUGAAAUGCUUAGAUAUCGUCAAGAACACCGAUAGUGAAGACAGCUUACUAGACUUCAACUGACGCUGAGGCACGAAAGUGUGGGGAUCAAACAGGAUUAGAUACCCUGGUAGUCC
This 292-nucleotide ribosomal RNA is filed under the name uncultured bacterium. RNAcentral's name for it is "partial 16S ribosomal RNA". It matches the Rfam family "Bacterial small subunit ribosomal RNA", at positions 505 to 796 of the family's 1533-position model. The record is from RNAcentral.